This 253-nucleotide ribosomal RNA is filed under the name uncultured bacterium. Its description in RNAcentral is "partial 16S ribosomal RNA". It matches the Rfam family "Bacterial small subunit ribosomal RNA", at positions 524 to 776 of the family's 1533-position model. The record is from RNAcentral.
UACGGAGGGUGCAAGCGUUGUCCGGAUUUAUUGGGUUUAAAGGGUGCGUAGGCGGCCCGGUAAGUCAGUGGUGAAAGCCUCCAGCUCAACUGGAGAACUGCCAUUGAUACUGCCGGGCUUGAGUACAGACGAGGUUGGCGGAAUUGAUUGUGUAGCGGUGAAAUGCAUAGAUACAAUCAAGAACACCGAUAGCGAAGGCAGCUUACUAAGGAGUAACUGACGCUGAGGCACGAAAGUGUGGGGAUCAAACAGG